This 691-nucleotide long non-coding RNA is filed under the name Sarcophilus harrisii (Tasmanian devil). RNAcentral's name for it is "lncRNA (ENSSHAG00000026687.1)". Lineage: Eukaryota; Metazoa; Chordata; Mammalia; Dasyuromorphia; Dasyuridae. The record is from RNAcentral.
UCUCAUUUCUAUAUAAGGUUCUGCCCAAAAGGAAUCAGAAAGUCCUUAGUGUAUAGAAUUAUACCCAGCAUAGGAUAGCUAUUUCAUUUCUUUUCUUUUUAAAGCAAUUAAAACACAAAAGAACUGUUUACAAAAAAUAUCACAAUGAAAAAUGUUUAACACUUGAUAAAUAUAUAUCUCUUACUUUCCUCUUCUAGGUUUGAUGCUGAAAACAUGAACAUUUAGAAGGAUUAUUGAAUAGACAGUUCAUAUUUACCUAGAUUUCACAUUUUUAAGCAGUUCCUUAAAUUUCUUCCCAUCUGACUUGAAGGGGACAUGGCUUCAGUUUAUUCUCCUGGAGGUGUUCAUAAUCUCUGAGAACACCUCUACUUUUUUCCUUCUGGCAAUAUUUCCUUGUACUGGACAGAAAUGAACACUGGGAAGACAGAUUAUCAGAGGAAGGUGACUAGGAUAUUCUACUCCAAACAACUACUCCUCCAUCAGACCACUGUCGGCCCAGGUCUGGGAAUGUCAUCUUUUAAGGAGACUUUCUCUGCUAUAUUUCCAUCUACUGAUUUUCCCACUGAGUUGUUACUUUCAAAUGCUGUGAAGAAUGGAACUCAUUGUAUGUAUAUGUGUAUACAUACAUGUAUGUAUAGACAUUUUCCACUGAACUUCAGGUAACAAUUGUCUGUCAUCCCUAAGAAAACUG